This 254-nucleotide ribosomal RNA is filed under the name uncultured bacterium. RNAcentral's name for it is "partial 16S ribosomal RNA". It matches the Rfam family "Bacterial small subunit ribosomal RNA", at positions 524 to 776 of the family's 1533-position model. The record is from RNAcentral.
UACAGAGGUCUCAAGCGUUGUUCGGAUUCAUUGGGCGUAAAGGGCGCGUAGGUGGCCUGUGGAAGUCUGCGGUGAAAGCCCGGCGCUCAACGCCGGGUCGGCCGUGGAUACUCUCGGGCUUGAGCUUACUAGAGGCAGAUGGAAUUCCGGGUGUAGCGGUGGAAUGCGUAGAGAUCCGGAAGAACACCGGUGGCGAAGGCGGUCUGCUGGGGUAAUGCUGACACUGAGGCGCGACAGCGUGGGGAGCAAACAGG